Molecule: long non-coding RNA, 268 nt
Organism: Neogale vison (American mink)
Lineage: Eukaryota; Metazoa; Chordata; Mammalia; Carnivora; Mustelidae
Exons: 3
Source: RefSeq, a predicted model, not a curated record
GAUAAGUACGGCCAUGUGACUAACUGAGGACUGCUGAAAUGCAAGAAGUAUGUAGGGUUUUGGGAACAUCUCCUUAAAAGAUUUCCAGUGCUGGGCUCUGAGAUGCAGAGAGAGAGGACAAGGUCACAGAAGUUCCCCAUAGAAGGACUCUAACUAGUGACCCAUCUUAUCUGAGACAAGACUGGAUCUGCAUUUCUCCUCUCAGUGUCUGGAACCUUGCACUGCGCCUGACCGAGCAAAGACCAAGCGGCCCCUGGAGGUUUGGCAA